AGUGAACGCUGGCGGUAGGCCUAGCACAUGCAAGUCGAACGGCAGCACAGUAAGAGCUUGCUCUUACGGGUGGCGAGUGGCGGACGGGUGAGGAAUACAUCGGAAUCUACUUUUUCGUGGGGGAUAACGUAGGGAAACUUACGCUAAUACCGCAUACGACCUACGGGUGAAAGCAGGGGGUCUUCGGACCUUGCGCGAUUGAAUGAGCCGAUGUCGGAUUAGCUAGUUGGCGGGGUAAAGGCCCACCAAGGCGACGAUCCGUAGCUGGUCUGAGAGGAUGAUCAGCCACACUGGAACUGAGACACGGUCCAGACUCCUACGGGAGGCAGCAGUGGGGAAUAUUGGACAAAGGGCGCAAGCCUGAUCCAGCCAUACCGCGUGGGUGAAGAAGGCCUUCGGGUUGUAAAGCCCUUUUGUUGGGAAAGAAAAGAAGCAGGUUAAUACCCCGCUGUUCUGACGGUACCCAAAGAAUAAGCACCGGCUAACUUCGUG
Molecule: ribosomal RNA, 492 nt
Filed under: uncultured bacterium
Lineage: Bacteria
Description: partial 16S ribosomal RNA
Rfam family: Bacterial small subunit ribosomal RNA
Source: RNAcentral